GUGUCAGCCGCCGCGGUAAUACGGAGGGUGCGAGCGUUGUUCGGAAUCAUUGGGCGUAAAGGGCGUGCAGGCGGUUGGGUAAGUCUGAUGUGAAAGCCCGGGGCUCAACCCCGGAAGUGCAUUGGAAACUGUCCGACUUGAGUACCGGAGAGGAUGGGGGAAUUCCCGGUGUAGAGGUGAAAUUCGUAGAGAUCGGGAGGAAUACCAGUGGCGAAGGCGCCCAUCUGGACGGAUACUGACGCUGAGACGCGAAAGCGUGGGGAGCAAACAGGAUUAGAUACCCUGGUAGUCCACGCUGUAAACGAUGAGCACUAGGUGUAGCGGGUAUUGACCCCUGCUGUGCCGCAGCUAACGCAUUAAGUGCUCCGCCUGGGGAUUACGGUCGCAAGACUAAA
This 395-nucleotide ribosomal RNA is filed under the name uncultured bacterium. Its description in RNAcentral is "bacterial SSU rRNA". It matches the Rfam family "Bacterial small subunit ribosomal RNA", at positions 505 to 898 of the family's 1533-position model. The record is from RNAcentral.